CGCCCCCCUCCCCGGGGGGGUGGCCAGCGCCCGCCAGAGGACCAUCAAACUCCAGUCAGUAAACGAUGCAGUCUGAAAAACAUUUAAUAAACUAAAACUUUCAACAACGGAUCUCUUGGUUCUGGCAUCGAUGAAGAACGCAGCGAAAUGCGAUAAGUAAUGUGAAUUGCAGAAUUCAGUGAAUCAUCGAAUCUUUGAACGCACAUUGCGCCCUUUGGUAUUCCGAAGGGCAUGCCUGUUCGAGCGUCAUUACAACCCUCAAGCUCUGCUUGGUAUUGGGCACCGUCCUUUGCGGGCGCGCCUCAAAGACCUCGGCGGUGGCGUCUUGCCUCAAGCGUAGUAGAACAUACAUCUCGCUUCGGAGCGCAGGGCGUCGCCCCACGGACGAACCCUCCUGAAAUUUUCUACAAGGUUGACCUCGGAUCAAGGUAGGAAACACCCU
This 442-nucleotide ribosomal RNA is filed under the name Botryosphaeria dothidea. RNAcentral's name for it is "eukaryotic LSU rRNA". The stretch from base 96 to 249 matches the Rfam family "5.8S ribosomal RNA". Lineage: Eukaryota; Fungi; Ascomycota; Dothideomycetes; Botryosphaeriales; Botryosphaeriaceae. The record is from RNAcentral.